AGAGUUUGAUCCUGGCUCAGGACGAACGCUGGCGGCGUGCCUAAUACAUGCAAGUCAACUGAAGCAGUUGUAGCAAUACGGCUGUGGAGGUGGCGCACGGGUGAGUAACACGUAGGUAAUCUGCCUUCAGGUCUGACAUAACUCAGCGAAAGCUGUGCUAAUAUCAGAUUAUGCAGCGGCUUGGCAUCAAGACAGUUGUUAAAGCUUCGGCGCCUGAAGAUGAGCCUGCGUCCCAUCAGCUAGUUGGUAAGGUAAUGGCUUACCAAGGCGAUGACGGGUAGGGGACCUGAGAGGGUGGCCCCCCACAAUGGAACUGAAACACGGUCCAUACACCUACGGGUGGCAGCAGUAGGGAAUAUUGGUUAAUGUGCGAAAGCGCGAACCAGCAACGCCGCGUGUGCGAUGAAGGCCUUCGGGUCGUAAAGCACUUUUUGCAGGGACGAGGAAGGACGGUACCUGCAGAAUAAGUCUCGGCUAACUACGUGCCAGCAGCCGCGGUAAAACGUAGGAGACGAGCGUUAUCCGGAUUUACUGGGCGUAAAGCGCGUGCAGGCGGCAUGGCAAGUUGGAUGUGAAAGCUCCCGGCUUAACUGGGAGAGGUCGUUCAAUACUGCCAGGCUUGAGAGUGGUAGAGGGAAGCGGAAUUCCGGGUGUAGUGGUGAAAUGCGUAGAUAUCCGGAGGAACACCAGUGGCGAAAGCGGCUUCCUGGCCCAUUUCUGACGCUCAGACGCGAAAGCUAGGGUAGCAAACGGGAUUAGAGACCCCGGUAGUCCUAGCUGUAAACGAUGUGAACUUGGCGUUGGCGGGUUUAAAUCCGUCAGUGCCGCAGCUAACGCGAUAAGUUCACCGCCUGGGGACUACGGCCGCAAGGUUAAAACUCAAAGGAAUUGACGGGGGCCCGCACAAGCAGCGGAGCGUGUGGUUUAAUUCGAUGUUACACGAAGAACCUUACCAGGGUUUGACAUGUAGGUGGUAGUGAAGCGAAAGCGGAACGACUCUUCGGAGAGCCUGCACAGGUGCUGCAUGGCUGUCGUCAGCUCGUGUCGUGAGAUGUUCGGUUAAGUCCGCUAACGAGCGCAACCCCUGCUGUGUGUUACAAGUGUCACACGGGACUGCCGGUCUUAAGCCGGAGGAAGGUGGGGAUGACGUCAAGUCAGCAUGGCCUUUAUAUCCUGGGCUACACACACGCUACAAUGGGUGGUACAGCAGGUUGCGAAACCGCGAGGUGGAGCCAAUCCUCAAAGCCAUCCUCAGUUCAGAUUGCAGGCUGCAACUCGCCUGCAUGAAGAUGGAGUUGCUAGUAACCGCAGGUCAGCUAUACUGCGGUGAAUACGUUCCCGGGCCUUGCACUCACCGCCCGUCA
RNAcentral lists this ribosomal RNA (1364 nucleotides) under uncultured bacterium. RNAcentral's name for it is "16S ribosomal RNA". It matches the Rfam family "Bacterial small subunit ribosomal RNA". The record is from RNAcentral.